UAACACAUGCAAGUCGAACGAUGACUCUCUAGCUUGCUAGAGAUGAUUAGUGGCGGACGGGUGAGUAACAUUUAGGAAUCUACCUAGUAGUGGGGGAUAGCUCGGGGAAACUCGAAUUAAUACCGCAUACGACCUACGGGUGAAAGGGGGCGCAAGCUCUUGCUAUUAGAUGAGCCUAAAUCAGAUUAGCUAGUUGGUGGGGUAAAGGCCCACCAAGGCGACGAUCUGUAACUGGUCUGAGAGGAUGAUCAGUCACACCGGAACUGAGACACGGUCCGGACUCCUACGGGAGGCAGCAGUGGGGAAUAUUGGACAAUGGGGGCAACCCUGAUCCAGCCAUGCCGCGUGUGUGAAGAAGGCCUUUUGGUUGUAAAGCACUUUAAGCAGGGAGGAGAGGCUAAUGGUUAAUACCCAUUAGAUUAGACGUUACCUGCAGAAUAAGCACCGGCUAACUCUGUGCCAGCAGCCGCGGUAAUACAGAGGGUGCGAGCGUUAAUCGGAAUUACUGGGCGUAAAGCGAGUGUAGGUGGCUCAUUAAGUCACAUGUGAAAUCCCCGGGCUUAACCUGGGAACUGCAUGUGAUACUGGUGGUGCUAGAAUAUGUGAGAGGGAAGUAGAAUUCCAGGUGUAGCGGUGAAAUGCGUAGAGAUCUGGAGGAAUACCGAUGGCGAAGG
RNAcentral lists this ribosomal RNA (674 nucleotides) under uncultured Pseudomonadota bacterium. Its description in RNAcentral is "bacterial SSU rRNA". It matches the Rfam family "Bacterial small subunit ribosomal RNA", at positions 49 to 721 of the family's 1533-position model. Lineage: Bacteria; Pseudomonadati; Pseudomonadota. The record is from RNAcentral.